UCCUCGGCUUCAUCACCAUACCAGUGGAGGACCGUCCAUGUCACCAGAAAUUGGACGAUCAGCGGCCCUUAGCCGAGAUCUUGGACCCUUACCAGACGGCUGGGAGGAAAGAAUCCACCAAGAUGGCAGAGUCUUCUAUAUUGAUCAUAACACAAAAUCUACUCAGUGGGAAGACCCUCGGAUUCAGAUUAACAGCAAACCAGCCCAGG
This is a long non-coding RNA of Stylophora pistillata, 209 nucleotides long. NCBI's taxonomy places the organism in Eukaryota, Metazoa, Cnidaria, Anthozoa, Scleractinia, Pocilloporidae. The record is from RefSeq and is a predicted model, not a curated record.